Molecule: ribosomal RNA, 587 nt
Filed under: uncultured bacterium
Lineage: Bacteria
Description: bacterial SSU rRNA
Rfam family: Bacterial small subunit ribosomal RNA
Source: RNAcentral
CCUACGGGAGGCAGCAGUGGGGAAUUUUGCGCAAUGGGCUAACGCCUGACGCAGCAACGCCGCAUGGAGGAUGAAGGUCUUUGGAUUGUAAACUCCUGUCAGCAGGGAAAAAGGGACUCGGCCUCAUACGUCGGGAACUUGAUUGUACCUGCAGAGGAAGCCCCGGCUAACUCUGUGCCAGCAGCCGCGGUAAUACAGAGGGGGCAAGCGUUAUUCGGAAUUAUUGGGCGUAAAGGGCGCGUAGGCGGCCUGGCAAGUGACGGGUGAAAUCCCUCGGCUUAACUGAGGAACUGCCUGUCAGACUGCUUGGCUUGAGACCGGGAGAGGUGAGUGGAAUUCCCAGUGUAGCGGUGAAAUGCGUAGAUAUUGGGAGGAACACCAGUGGCGAAGGCGGCUCACUGGACCGGUACUGACGCUGAGGCGCGAAAGCGUGGGGAGCAAACAGGAUUAGAUACCCUGGUAGUCCACGUCGUAAACGAUGAGUGCUUGGUGUAGCGGGUAUCGACCCCUGCUGUGCCGAAGUCAACACAUUAAGCACUCCGCCUGGGGAGUACGGUCGCAAGACUGAAACUCAAAGGAAUUGACGG